GCAAGGCUGAAACUUAAA
Molecule: non-coding RNA, 18 nt
Filed under: Arabidopsis thaliana (thale cress)
Lineage: Eukaryota; Viridiplantae; Streptophyta; Magnoliopsida; Brassicales; Brassicaceae
Source: RNAcentral